Molecule: ribosomal RNA, 1346 nt
Filed under: uncultured bacterium
Lineage: Bacteria
Description: partial 16S ribosomal RNA
Rfam family: Bacterial small subunit ribosomal RNA
Source: RNAcentral
GACGAACGCUGUCGGCGUGCUUAACACAUGCAAGUCGAACGGAAAGGCCCUGCUUUUGUGGGGUGCUCGAGUGGCGAACGGGUGAGUAACACGUGAGUAACCUGCCCUUGACUUUGGGAUAACUUCAGGAAACUGGGGCUAAUACCGGAUAGGAGCUCCUGCUGCAUGGUGGGGGUUGGAAAGUUUCGGCGGUUGGGGAUGGACUCGCGGCUUAUCAGCUUGUUGGUGGGGUAGUGGCUUACCAAGGCUUUGACGGGUAGCCGGCCUGAGAGGGUGACCGGCCACAUUGGGACUGAGAUACGGCCCAGACUCCUACGGGAGGCAGCAGUGGGGAAUAUUGCACAAUGGGCGGAAGCCUGAUGCAGCAACGCCGCGUGCGGGAUGACGGCCUUCGGGUUGUAAACCGCUUUCGCCUGUGACGAAGCGUGAGUGACGGUAAUGGGUAAAGAAGCACCGGCUAACUACGUGCCAGCAGCUGCGGUGAUACGUAGGGUGCGAGCGUUGUCCGGAUUUAUUGGGCGUAAAGGGCUCGUAGGUGGUUGAUCGCGUCGGAAGUGUAAUCUUGGGGCUUAACCCUGAGCGUGCUUUCGAUACGGGUUGACUUGAGGAAGGUAGGGGAGAAUGGAAUUCCUGGUGGAGCGGUGGAAUGCGCAGAUAUCAGGAGGAACACCAGUGGCGAAGGCGGUUCUCUGGGCCUUUCCUGACGCUGAGGAGCGAAAGCGUGGGGAGCGAACAGGCUUAGAUACCCUGGUAGUCCACGCUGUAAACGGUGGGUACUAGGUGUGGGGUCCAUUCCACGGGUUCCGUGCCGUAGCUAACGCUUUAAGUACCCCGCCUGGGGAGUACGGCCGCAAGGCUAAAACUCGAAGGAAUUGACGGGGCCCCGCACAAGCGGCGGAGCAUGCGGAUUAAUUCGAUGCAACGCGUAGAACCUUACCUGGGUUUGACAUGGAUCGGGAGUGCUCAGAGAUGGGUGUGCCUCUUUUGGGGUCGGUUCACAGGUGGUGCAUGGCUGUCGUCAGCUCGUGUCGUGAGAUGUUGGGUUAAGUCCCGCAACGAGCGCAACCCUUGUUCACUGUUGCCAGCACGUUAUGGUGGGGACUCAGUGGAGACCGCCGGGGUCAACUCGGAUGAAGGUGGGGAUGACGUCAAGUCAUCAUGCCCCUUAUGUCCAGGGCUUCACGCAUGCUACAAUGGCUGGUACAGAGAGUGGCGAGCCUGUGAGGGUGAGCGAAUCUCGGAAAGCCGGUCUCAGUUCGGAUUGGGGUUUGCAACUCGACCUCAUGAAGUCGGAGUCGCUAGUAAUCGCAGAUCAGCAACGCUGCGGUGAAUACGUUCCCGGGGCU